CCCACCGUCCCCAUCCCCGGAGCGGUUCACGGAUGCGGCCUUGAGAGAGCAACGUGUUGUCGAGACCGUCUGCCUGGUUACCUCUUCAGGCAUUUUCAGUCAGCCUGGUCCAAGACUCCAUGCAGGAAUUGACAAAGCAGCCUAGAUAGCCCAGCUUCCUUGGCUGAAAGACUUAUAAUCAGGGAAAGAAGAAACAAAAGUUUGAGUGUCUGUUUUAGUUCAGACACCACAAAUCUGGAUGUGGCUGGGAGAAGAAAGCGAUUGUGUUACGUGUUUCUGGAAGAGAUUAGGAUUUGAAUUGGUGGACUGAGUAAAGAAGAUGGCUCGCACUCCUGUGGAUGAGCAUCCUCCAAUUGCUUGAGGGUCUGAAGAGAGCAAAAAGGCAGAGGAGGGGUGGCUUUGCUUGGUUUGAGCUGAGACAUCCAUCUUCUCCUGCCCUCUGACAUCAGCAUUCCUGGUUCUCUGGGCUUUGGACCCAGACCAGUGUUUAUACUAUCAGCUGCCUAGUUCUCGAGCCUUUGAACUUGGGCCUACAGCAUUGGCUCCCCUGGGUCUCAGGCCUUCAGACUCCAACUGAACACCCCAGCUUUCCUGGAUCUCCAGCUUGCAGACAGCAGGUCAUGGAACUUCUUGGCUUCCAUAAUCACGUGAGCCAAUUCCUGUAAUAAAUCUCCUUUUGUGUAUAUCUGUUUAUAUCCUAUUAGUUCUGUUUCUCUGGAGAACCCUGACUAAUACAGUGAAUUUUAGGGAUAUAAAUAUAAAUCCUUUCUAUGUAAAC
RNAcentral lists this long non-coding RNA (778 nucleotides) under Equus caballus (horse). RNAcentral's name for it is "lncRNA (ENSECAG00000031548.3)". The record is from RNAcentral. Lineage: Eukaryota; Metazoa; Chordata; Mammalia; Perissodactyla; Equidae.